UCGUAACAAGGUUUCCGUAGGUGAACCUGCGGAAGGAUCAUUACCGAGUGCGGGUCUUUAUGGCCCAACCUCCCACCCGUGACUAUUGUACCUUGUUGCUUCGGCGGGCCCGCCAGCGUUGCUGGCCGCCGGGGGGCGACUCGCCCCCGGGCCCGUGCCCGCCGGAGACCCCAACAUGAACCCUGUUCUGAAAGCUUGCAGUCUGAGUGUGAUUCUUUGCAAUCAGUUAAAACUUUCAACAAUGGAUCUCUUGGUUCCGGCAUCGAUGAAGAACGCAGCGAAAUGCGAUAACUAAUGUGAAUUGCAGAAUUCAGUGAAUCAUCGAGUCUUUGAACGCACAUUGCGCCCCCUGGUAUUCCGGGGGGCAUGCCUGUCCGAGCGUCAUUGCUGCCCUCAAGCCCGGCUUGUGUGUUGGGCCCUCGUCCCCCGGCUCCCGGGGGACGGGCCCGAAAGGCAGCGGCGGCACCGCGUCCGGUCCUCGAGCGUAUGGGGCUUCGUCUUCCGCUCCGUAGGCCCGGCCGGCGCCCGCCGACGCAUUUGUUUGCAACUUGUUUUUUUCCAGGUUGACCUCGGAUCAGGUAGGGAUACCCGCUGAACUUAAGCAUAUCAAUAA
RNAcentral lists this unclassified non-coding RNA (613 nucleotides) under Aspergillus hortae. Its description in RNAcentral is "sequence contains 18S rRNA gene, ITS1, 5.8S rRNA gene, ITS2, 28S rRNA gene". The stretch from base 231 to 384 matches the Rfam family "5.8S ribosomal RNA". Lineage: Eukaryota; Fungi; Ascomycota; Eurotiomycetes; Eurotiales; Aspergillaceae. The record is from RNAcentral.